AAAAUUGAGUUCCAAAUUCUCUUCCUCUCUCACUAUUUUUGUACAUGAACUCCUCUGCUUUGGUUAAACUAGUCCCUUUUUUAUUCUUGUGUUUUCUCUGUGGACUUCAUAAAGCACUCUAUACCUCCUCUCAUAAUUUGUCUCAUAAUCUAGCUAUAUAUAACAACACAUUCUCCUACAAUAAUGAACUCCAUGAAGGCAGGAACCAUGUCAUAAUAGAAAAAACCCUGGAUUUGGAGUUAUAGAAAUAGACAAAAUUCCCCUCCCAAAGAUUGGCUUUAGCAAGUAUUCUGAAGUUGGCAGCUUCCAGGAAACCUCCACGCUGUCCUUAUCUUAAUAUUCUUUACCAAGAUUCCUUUUAUUGCAUCAUAAACUUCCCUGACAUGUUUGAAAGUACCACAUCAGUACUCAUCUCUUUAGGAAGAGCCCUACUUCAAGCACAUCUGGCAAGAAGAUGGAUCAGAAAAUAGAGCACUAAGCUGGAAGGGUUAGACCCGAGUUCAAAGACAUUUUUUUUUUAGCUGUGUGACCCUGGGCAUGCCACUUAACAUCUGUUUGCAUUAAUCUGCCAGAGAAGGGAAUGGUAAACCACUCCAGUGUCUGCCAAGAAAACUCCUUGAACAGUAUGGCCCAUGGGAUCAUGAAGAAUCAGACAUGACUGAAAAACAAGUAUUUGGAGAACAGAAUAAUA
This is a long non-coding RNA of Sarcophilus harrisii (Tasmanian devil), 691 nucleotides long. RefSeq lists it as uncharacterized. The record is from RefSeq and is a predicted model, not a curated record. Lineage: Eukaryota; Metazoa; Chordata; Mammalia; Dasyuromorphia; Dasyuridae. The transcript is spliced from 2 exons.